GUGCCAGCCGCCGCGCUAAUACCGGCAGUUCGAGUGAUGGCCGCUUUUAUUGGGCCUAAAGCGUUCGUAGCUGGCCGAGCAAGUCUGUCGGGAAAUCCAGUGGCUUAACCACUGGACGUCCGGCGGAAACUGUUCGGCUUGGGACCGGAAGGCUCGAAGGGUACGUUCGGGGUAGGAGUGAAAUCCCAUAAUCCCGCACGGACCACCGAUGGCGAAAGCACUUCGAGAAAACGGAUCCGACAGUGAGGGACGAAAGCCAGGGUCUCCAACCGGAUUAGAUACCCGUGUAGUCC
This 293-nucleotide ribosomal RNA is filed under the name uncultured bacterium. Its description in RNAcentral is "partial 16S ribosomal RNA". It matches the Rfam family "Archaeal small subunit ribosomal RNA", at positions 455 to 747 of the family's 1478-position model. The record is from RNAcentral.